UGCGAAUGGAGAGCCGACAUACCUUGACAAUAUUGGAUAUCCUGUUUCUCUCUAGGACCUUUUGGGAGCGUUUUUUCAGUAAAGGGUGAUAUCCAACAAAUUAACCUGGAGGAGGAAAAACCCCAGGAGGAAAAAUGUUAUCCUAUCCGAGGAUUGUUAAGGUGUGUAAAACUGGAGUAGGAAAGAGCUCAAUAGGAAAAAUCAUCCUUGGAAGAGAAACAUUGAAGGUGGAUUCAUCUCUACAAGCUACAACUGCAGUUCUGGAGAAUGGCAGAAAAAAUUGUUUAAUUGAUGCUCCAGGAUGCUUAUCUGCUUAUCUGGCGUUCAGGGAAAUCCAUGGGAGAUUUUUAGAGAUAAAGAACAAUGUAAAGAGGAUUCAGAAGAUCUUUGGAGAAGAAGCCCAAAAGCAUGUGUUGUUCACUCAUGGAAAUGAGAAUCAGAAUGAGGAUAAUAAUCUAAAGAAGUUUGUCUGUGAGCUGCUGGGAAAAGAGGGAUCAGGAAAGAGUUCAACAGGAAACAACAUCCCUGGAAAAGAGGCGUUUAAGGUGGAAUUCCCAACUUACACUUCCACCCUGAUGAAAAAAGAUCUGCUGGAAAACAUGAAGACAUCUCCUGCUGAUUUGGAGGAUUCUGGUCGUUUUAUGGAGGCUUUAAAUCUGGAGUGGAGCACCUUAAAGUAUAAACGUUAUGGA
This 692-nucleotide long non-coding RNA is filed under the name Astyanax mexicanus (Mexican tetra). RNAcentral's name for it is "lncRNA (ENSAMXG00005013046.1)". Lineage: Eukaryota; Metazoa; Chordata; Actinopteri; Characiformes; Acestrorhamphidae. The record is from RNAcentral.